GAGGUGUGAAUGUACUGCUGAUCUGUGUGACUUUGUGUCUGGGUGUAAGGUUGCAAGUACAACAGUUACUUCUUCGGAGCAUCAGACAACAAACAGAAAGGGCGUUGUAUUUCCAUGUGAUGUUUACAGGAACUAUUGUGAUAAUUCAACAGAUCGUUUUUGCUAUGGAUAGACGAACAAGAUAAUUUAGACGGCUGUUCCAUGUAACCCCAAAGGUUUGGUUAUCAGGCGUAUCAAUCAAAGGAUCAGACUGAUAUGAAGAGCCUAAUGUUUUGUGUUGGUAGUAAAAUACACUUCACUUAUUUAUGAAAUAUCUUAAUCAUAUUCGUUUAGAUUUUAAGGGUAAUUCAAUACGAUGUGCAAAUGUGCUAGGAGGGUUUGGAACAGCCACAUUAAGCUCCCUGAAAAAAAAAAAACAGUCGUUAAGACCGUCCGGAACAAAGACGUAAAAUUGACAUAGUUUGAAAUCGUUGUACGUUCUCAAGUUAUACUUUCAUGAUCAAUGCGAAGCUAAAUUUCUGGUCUAAUACUAUAUUGGUGACAUUCGUGGUAUAUUGGAGAAAAAUGGCAACGUAUCUCCCUGAUCUCGGCAAUAACUGUAGUAGAAUAGGAAUUUAAUAUCAUGUGUUUAUUUUAAUCAUGAAAUAAUGGAAUUGUUAAAAUUGGAAUAGCUACAAACGGAAAUUUAUGUUAUAACUCUUCAAUAAGGCACUUAAAUGAAAUUGACACUAACAUUAUUGUACUCUUUAUCAAUCUAACCCAUCAUACAUUAUCCGAGUUUUAAGGGUUGUAUGGUUGCAUUCAAUAACCACUCACCAUGACCUACAUAAACAACCCAUGCGCGUAAUGUUAACGUUUCUACUAGCUAAACAACUUUUUUUUAUCAUGGUACUUAAAGUUUUGUUUAUUUUUAAAAUAUUUUUUGAGAUGAAGCUUCAGCAAAUAUCAGGGACGUGUUACCUCUACGUACAUGUAGGUAACUCAUAUUGCGUCUGGCAUGCACUGAUUCCCCAUAAAGAUGCUGGAGCCGCUUUUAACAAGAACAGAAUUUCCUACUUUGUCGACUUCUCUUAGAUUAAAUAAAUCUUCUUGAAGCUGGGCAGUUUGAAGUUAUUUGUUUUGUACACUUAAACAAGAACAUGGCCACUUUCAGCCGACAGCAUCUAGAAGAUAUUCAGAUAUCUUAAAAUAUAAUCAGGUUUUGCAUCGCAUUUGCUUUCAAAGGUGCAUCUGAUCAUGCAAAUUAUAACAGAUUAAAUAGUCAUCUGAAGUAUGAAGUAUUUCAAACCCAAACGAUGUAAAUGGUGAAGCCUGUUGCGUGAGAGACAUAGAUAUUUAAGUUAAUGUUACUAGAUUAAUGUUUAAAUGGCAAGAAACCGAGUUUUCUCGUCUAGAAGAACGCUUUUAAAAAAUAGACCCCAAAUUUGUAAUUGGACCAAUUACCGAGUUGAAUCAUAUUAUUAUACACAUGUGCGUACGAUGUGUUUAUGUUUUCGUGGACAGCAUUUUGGUUACAC
Molecule: long non-coding RNA, 1517 nt
Organism: Magallana angulata
Lineage: Eukaryota; Metazoa; Mollusca; Bivalvia; Ostreida; Ostreidae
Exons: 4
Source: RefSeq, a predicted model, not a curated record